Peromyscus californicus insignis is the source of this 940-nucleotide long non-coding RNA. RefSeq lists it as uncharacterized. The record is from RefSeq and is a predicted model, not a curated record. The transcript is spliced from 3 exons. NCBI's taxonomy places the organism in Eukaryota, Metazoa, Chordata, Mammalia, Rodentia, Cricetidae.
GUGUGUGUGUGUGUCUUUACCAGGGUGGGGGCAAGGACUUAAUCUCCUUUUACACACACCUUCAAGGAGAAGAAGAAAUGGAGAUCAUUUCUUUUUAUUUGUAACUACAACAAGAUCUUAGUGUUUACUCAUCCCCGAGUACCGCCACAAAGAGGGAUGCUGUCAUCUCCCCAGCAAGCCUAUGCCGAUUGCUCAGAGUGUGCGGACUGCAGUGACUCAGCAGCCAGUCUUCUGCAGACACACCCCUGAAAUGCACAUUCAGAGAGGGCUAGCCUUAUGAACUAAACAUGGGGCCCUUUACAAAUACAUCCUCAUCAUUAAGCAAUGCAUGACUGCACACGAAAUUAUGGGCAUCUGGAAGAUUCUCACAAUUAUUUUGGUUCUACUCUGGAACAAUGUCAAUGUGACACGCAUUAACAAAUCAGAGAGACGGUUUUUUACUGACUCUCGUGGAUCGCUCCUGAUGGAUGAAGUCCUGAACCGUAUGUGUGAAAUGCAUUAGUUUGAAAACAGUCCCAAAUGGUGAAAUGGUGAUUCAGAAAGUCAGGGGGUCAAAAGUGAAUAAACAAGAAAGGCUUGGGGAGAGAGAACUGGAAAAACCUACUGAGCAGAAGCAAUGGCGACACUCAGAAAAAGUGAGAAACACAAGUUACAACAGUUUACCAAAGUGAAAAAUGUACUCCACGUCUGUCUUCAUGGCAUAAUUUAUCAGCGCGGCACAUUGCAAAGGAUGCACUCUGUUCUUCAGAUGGUAGCCGUGUCUACAAAUGGUGUGAGUCUCGGGGGAGAAAACUCUCCCCCAAAGAGUACUGGGUUCUUUUCUUGAAAUAACCUAAUGCUAAAUGGUAGGCAUUACUUAACGCUUUACUUCGAGCUACUUGAUAUAUAAUCAGGUCAGCUGUUUCUAUGGAUAAAAAUAAAAAAAUAUAAUAUACAUUUU